This 85-nucleotide transfer RNA is filed under the name Lachnospiraceae bacterium. RNAcentral describes it as "tRNA-Leu". It matches the Rfam family "tRNA". From Rfam's summary of the family: Transfer RNA (tRNA) molecules are approximately 80 nucleotides in length. Their secondary structure includes four short double-helical elements and three loops (D, anti-codon, and T loops). Further hydrogen bonds mediate the characteristic L-shaped molecular structure. tRNAs have two regions of fundamental functional importance: the anti-codon, which is responsible for specific mRNA codon recognition, and the 3' end, to which the tRNAs corresponding amino acid is attached (by aminoacyl-tRNA synthetases). tRNAs cope with the degeneracy of the genetic code in two manners: having more than one tRNA (with a specific anti-codon) for a particular amino acid; and 'wobble' base-pairing, i.e. permitting non-standard base-pairing at the 3rd anti-codon position. Lineage: Bacteria; Bacillati; Bacillota; Clostridia; Lachnospirales; Lachnospiraceae. RNAcentral also lists the same sequence under 2 other names. The record is from RNAcentral.
GCAGAAGUGGCGGAAUUGGCAGACGCGCAGGCUUCAGGUGCCUGUGAUCGUUUAGGUCAUGUGGGUUCAAGUCCCAUCUUCUGCA